RNAcentral lists this long non-coding RNA (514 nucleotides) under Cyanistes caeruleus (blue tit). RNAcentral's name for it is "lncRNA (ENSCCEG00000019050.1)". The record is from RNAcentral. Lineage: Eukaryota; Metazoa; Chordata; Aves; Passeriformes; Paridae.
UAAUAAACACAGAAGCGCUUCGGUGUUUGACGCGUUGCUCUGCGAUUGAGCUGUUUGGGAAUUGCUGUGGAUAAUAAAUUGCUGGCUGUGGAGGCAGGGAUUGCUGGCAUGUCUCACAUCCAGCGCUCAGACAAUGUAGCAGCGUGUGCUGACAGCGGAGCGCGUCCCUGCUACACCUGCCCUGGAGUGCCACUUGGACAAGAGACUGGUUUGUCUCCUGCCUACACCCACACUGAAAUUGAAAUAAGAUGCCUAAUGGGUAGGCAGUGUGAGAAAUGUUAAGGAAGAGACAUCAUGGGUCACUGGAGAAAUUCCUGUAACAGGAUUUUGUGACGUGAGGAAGUAUAUACCCAUCAUCUGCCAUGCAUAACAAAAAUGGGAAGAUAAAAUUAACUAGUAAGACAUUGCUUUAUUCUCUCCUCUAUUUUUAAUAAUUUUUAAAUUGUCAUCCCAGGCUCUUCUGGCUUACACAUCAUAAAUUGUUAAAUAAAAUGAAGAAUAGCGUUAAUGUACA